GCAUGCUUAACACAUGCAAGUCGCACGGCUGGGGUAACUCAGCAGUGGCGGACGGGUGAGUAACGCGUGGGGAUCUGUCUCCGGGUGGGGGAUAACCGUGGGAAACUACGGCUAAUACCGCAUGAUGCCCGAGGGCCAAAGGUGUAAAUCGCCUGGAGAGGAACCCGCGUACGAUUAGCUUGUUGGCGGGGUAAAGGCCCACCAAGGCGACGAUCGUUAGCUGGUCUGAGAGGAUGAUCAGCCACACUGGGACUGAGACACGGCCCACACUCCUACGGGAGGCAGCAGUGGGGAAUAUUGGACAAUGGGCGCAAGCCUGAUCCAGCAAUGCCGCGUGAGUGAAGAAGGUCUUCGGAUUGUAAAGCUCUUUCGACGGGGACGAUGAUGACGGUACCCGUAGAANAAGCCCCGGCUAACUUCGUGCCAGCAGCCGCGGUAAUACNAAGGGGGCUAGCGUUGCUC
This 462-nucleotide ribosomal RNA is filed under the name uncultured Alphaproteobacteria bacterium. Its description in RNAcentral is "bacterial SSU rRNA". It matches the Rfam family "Bacterial small subunit ribosomal RNA", at positions 42 to 546 of the family's 1533-position model. Lineage: Bacteria; Pseudomonadati; Pseudomonadota; Alphaproteobacteria. The record is from RNAcentral.